Molecule: long non-coding RNA, 347 nt
Filed under: Prunus persica (peach)
Lineage: Eukaryota; Viridiplantae; Streptophyta; Magnoliopsida; Rosales; Rosaceae
Description: long non-coding RNA (PPER_LNC006389)
Source: RNAcentral
UUUCUAGUUCUUAGCAGAAGGGUUGAACAUCUACAUAAACAUUUACUGUUUGUAUGAUGUACAUGCUAAGCUACUGUUAGUUAGCAAUUUUUGUUUCAGUUUUACCACUGCUUUUGCUAUUACAUAAGGAUAAUAAUGUUGUUUACUUGUUAAAAUUCAUUUUUCAGUGGGUUGAGACCUAUAAGUUAUCAAGCCUGGUUUUGCUGCUGUAUAUAUAUUUUUUAAUGUGAAAAUAUAUUGUAUUAUGCCUUUCAGGAUUAUGAACCGUUAAUGAGGGCACCGUCAAAGCUAGUUUGAGGGCACUGUCAAAGCUAGUCAAUCUUAACAAUCCAGAUCUUGUCUUGUUU